RNAcentral lists this ribosomal RNA (253 nucleotides) under uncultured bacterium. RNAcentral's name for it is "partial 16S ribosomal RNA". It matches the Rfam family "Bacterial small subunit ribosomal RNA", at positions 524 to 776 of the family's 1533-position model. The record is from RNAcentral.
UACAGAGGCGGCAAGCGUUGUUCGGAAUUACUGGGUGUAAAGGGCGCGUAGGCGGCCUGUUAAGUCCCGUGUGAAAUCCCUCGGCUCAACCGAGGAACUGCACGGGAAACUGGCGGGCUUGAGUUCGGGAGAGGGAAGCGGAAUUCCGGGUGUAGCGGUGAAAUGCGUAGAUAUCCGGAGGAACACCGGUGGCGAAGGCGGUUUCCUGGACCGACACUGACGCUGAGGCGCGAAAGCUAGGGGAGCAAACGGG